Molecule: ribosomal RNA, 253 nt
Filed under: uncultured bacterium
Lineage: Bacteria
Description: partial 16S ribosomal RNA
Rfam family: Bacterial small subunit ribosomal RNA
Source: RNAcentral
UACAGAGGGUGCAAGCGUUAAUCGGAAUUACUGGGCGUAAAGCGUGCGUAGACGGUUAUUUAAGUCAGGUGUGAAAGCCCCGGGCUCAACCUGGGAACUGCAUCCGAAACUGCCUUGCUAGAGUAUGGGAGAGGGAAGUGGAAUUUCCGGUGUAGCGGUGAAAUGCGUAGAUAUCGGAAGGAACAUCAGUGGCGAAGGCGACUUCCUGGACCAAUACUGACGCUCAGGUGCGAAAGCGUGGGGAGCAAACAGG